RNAcentral lists this transfer RNA (72 nucleotides) under Bos taurus (domestic cattle). It matches the Rfam family "tRNA". Rfam says of the family: Transfer RNA (tRNA) molecules are approximately 80 nucleotides in length. Their secondary structure includes four short double-helical elements and three loops (D, anti-codon, and T loops). Further hydrogen bonds mediate the characteristic L-shaped molecular structure. tRNAs have two regions of fundamental functional importance: the anti-codon, which is responsible for specific mRNA codon recognition, and the 3' end, to which the tRNAs corresponding amino acid is attached (by aminoacyl-tRNA synthetases). tRNAs cope with the degeneracy of the genetic code in two manners: having more than one tRNA (with a specific anti-codon) for a particular amino acid; and 'wobble' base-pairing, i.e. permitting non-standard base-pairing at the 3rd anti-codon position. RNAcentral also lists the same sequence under 5 other names. Lineage: Eukaryota; Metazoa; Chordata; Mammalia; Artiodactyla; Bovidae. The record is from Rfam by way of RNAcentral.
UCUCUGGUGGCUCAGUGGUAAAGAAUCUGCCUGCCAAUGCAGGAGACGCAGGUUCGAUCCCUGCGUUGGGAA